AGAGUUUGAUCAUGGCUCAGGAUUAACGCUGGCGGUAUGCCUAACACAUGCAAGUCGAACGGAAUACUCGAAAAGAGAAUCUCACACUAGUGAGAGGUUCUCCAACCGAGUAUUUAGUGGCGGACGGGUGAGUAACACGUUGGAACCUGCCCCGAAGUGGGGAAUAACUGCUCGAAAGAGUAGCUAAUACCCCAUAGUAUCCGGUUUAUCCGGAUUAAAGAUUUAUCGCUUCGGGAGGGGCCUGCGUCUGAUUAGCUUGUUGGUGGGGUAAAAGCUCACCAAGGCGACGAUCAGUAGCUGGUUCGAGAGGAUGACCAGCCACACUGGGACUGAGAUACGGCCCAGACUCCUACGGGAGGCAGCAGUGAGGAAUCUUCCACAAUGGACGAAAGUCUGAUGGAGCAAUACCGCGUGCAGGACGACGCUUUUCGGAGUGUAAACUGCUUUUGUCGUCGAAGAUUAUGACUGUAGGCGAAGAAUAAGGACCGGCUAACUACGUG
Molecule: ribosomal RNA, 500 nt
Filed under: uncultured bacterium
Lineage: Bacteria
Description: bacterial SSU rRNA
Rfam family: Bacterial small subunit ribosomal RNA
Source: RNAcentral